This 480-nucleotide ribosomal RNA is filed under the name uncultured bacterium. RNAcentral's name for it is "partial 16S ribosomal RNA". It matches the Rfam family "Bacterial small subunit ribosomal RNA", at positions 28 to 507 of the family's 1533-position model. The record is from RNAcentral.
GACGAACGCUGGCGGCGCGCCUAACACAUGCAAGUCGAGCGAUGAAACUUUAACAGAACCCUUCGGGGCGGAGGGAAGGGGGAGUAGCGGCGGACGGGUGAGUAACACGUGAGUAACCUGCCUUAGACAUUGGGAUAGCCACGGGAAACCGGGAUUAAUACCAAAUAAAAUCAUAAUGACACAUGUCAUAACGAACAAAACUCCGGUGGGCUAACUUGGAGUCGCGUUCCAUUAGCAGGUGGGCAGGGUAAAAGCCUACCAAGGGGACGAUGGGGAGCCGGCCUGAGAGAGAGAGCCGCCACACUGGAACGGAGAAGCGGUCGAGACUCUUACGGGAGGGAGGAGUGGGGGAUAUUGCAAAAUGGAGGGUGUGCAGAUGCAGCGAGGACGCGUGAGCGAUGAAGGUUGUGGAGUCGUAAAGUUCUUUUAUAUGGGAAGAUAAUGACGGUACCAUAAGAAAAAGCCCCGGCUAACUACGUG